GAAACGAAAUCAUUAAAUAAAUGUAUUAUAUAUAUAUAUAUAAAGAGUUCAAUAUAUUCGUGGAAUUUUGAAACAUUCUAGAUGUUAACUAAAGUAAAUUCAAAAAAUUGAAGUUUUUAUUAAAUUCUAAAUUGCGGAUUUUUUUUUGCAGUGUUGUACAAAAAAUAUUCAAAAUAUACAUUAUGAUAUUUAAAAAAUAAAAGAAAUCUUAAGUUCCAUUUUUUUUAUCAUAUUCAUAAAAAUUGCGAUGUUCAUAGUUAAAGUAGUCUAGCAAUUGUUGGAAUGAGAUCAAAUGAUGAUAUAAAUCUAAAAUAAUAUUUUUAUAUGUAUAUCUUCCAAAGCAAUCCUACGAAUAUUAAUAUUUUAUAAAUAGAAUCAUAAAGGAUUCUGAAUAUUCAAACGAACAGUUCAAAACGGAACAAAUAAAUAGCCUCAAGGGUAACAAUCUCUUAAUCCUAAUAUAAAUCAAAACUUACACAAAUACGUGCAAGCGCAGUGAACUGUAUUUCGAAAUAGCAAGAGGAAUAGCAAAGUGUAUUUAAAUCGUUCCUAAUAUCUUAAAAUUAAUUACGAAAAAUAAGCAACAAUUUUUUAAACGAUUCAAAAAUAUAUGGAUACUUUUUCGAAUUCAAUUUUUAUCUCUUCUAAAGUAUUUUCUAUAUUUGAUUUCGUCACAUUCUUUAACCAUCAUUAUCGAUCGAAAUCGAUAAAGAAGGCAUCGAUAAUAUGAAUCUUACCAAUUUUAUCCUCAAAACAAUAGGAGAAGAAUAGCAGAAAAUAGUGAAAGAUAAGAAUUAACAAACUAUGGAAUAUAUGAAAAAACGAAAAUAACAAAUUUGAAAAGAUUUUCAUUUUUGAAAAUUCUUUGCAUUUGUAUCUAACAUUGUUAUAUUGAAAAAAAAUCAUACAAAAGAUUCGUUUCUUCCAAAUAACGGAAGUACUUCAAUUCGUGUAACAUCUUCAAAAUGCUAAAACCUUGCAAACGUGUGAAAAAUCUUACUUAUUCUCGAUUUAUCUAAAUAAUCCUGUUACACUGUCCAUCCGCGCGGUCCAUUUAUUAGCCCCGAGCCAACACCAGAAAUCCCAGAUUACCCCGAUCAUUUUAUCGCAACGUGAAACAUAUUUCGUUCCACGGUCCCGCCAGUAUCGUUAAUCGCGAUAAAUCGUAUAGAAUCGCGAACCGAUCACGCGCUCCUCCCUUCUCCCUUGUUCGAAUCCGCGUGGCAGCGAGGCGCAUGCGUGCACUCGAUCCCCUCCUUCCUUUCCAUUCUCUGGAUCAGCAGCAAGGAUGAAUGAGUCGAGGGGAGAGCGGCCUCCGGGGAUGUCACCGAUCCCUCGCGUCACUCUCCCUCCCUCCUCCCUCUCUCCCCCCUCCUCCUCCGCGUCGGGGGUUAAAAAUAGCCGGAUCCACUGACGUCAUCGAUCUGUCGUCGCCGGACCAAAAUGAUUUUCAGCAAUGAAAGAAAAUAGAAUGAGAUUGUUGGAGAGGAGUCGGUAUUACAGAGAGGAAUUUUGCGAAUUUUAUUCCAGCUUUUCAGAGUGAAUUAUUAUAAUAAUUAUAACUUUGUAUUAAUUUUUCGUAUAUUCGAAAUAAAUAUUAUUUGUAUAAUUCAAUCGAAACGAGCUACUUUGCUUUUGUACGAAACAAAGGGAUCGUAAUAACAAAACUGCGAAAUAAAAUUUGUAUAAAUUCGAUUUCAAAAGAAACGGAGCUUGAAUAAAGAUUUGUCUUAUUCUUCAAA
Molecule: long non-coding RNA, 1742 nt
Organism: Apis cerana (Asiatic honeybee)
Lineage: Eukaryota; Metazoa; Arthropoda; Insecta; Hymenoptera; Apidae
Source: RefSeq, a predicted model, not a curated record